Ictalurus punctatus (channel catfish) is the source of this 1423-nucleotide long non-coding RNA. NCBI's taxonomy places the organism in Eukaryota, Metazoa, Chordata, Actinopteri, Siluriformes, Ictaluridae. The record is from Ensembl.
GACAGUUUCCUGCCGUGUUCCGGUAUUUAUUUUCCGGUGGUGCCGUGACCCGGAUCGACAACUCGGGACAUCUGUCAGAUCUGAGAGUUUCUUCACUGAAACAUGAGAGUGUUUUUUUUUCUUUUUUUUGAACAGAGCAAAAUCCACAGAUACUGUUUGCUGGAAACUUGUUAUUUGAGAAUAAAUUAUUUAAAACAGAAUAUUUUCAUGCUCUUAGUGUAAACUGAGUGGGCUAACUACGACGAAUAUUUAUCCAUCAGUGUGUGGAAUAUGUCUGGCUCUGUCAUUUCGUCUCUGAAGCGUGAUGGACAGGUCAGAGCUCCGUUACCCUUCGGAUUCUCGCUCGGGCAAAAUAAGAUCGAGUGCAUAUGUUUAAAAGAUAAAGCCCUUGCUAACUGAAAUUUACAUUCUUGUCUGUGUUAAGCCCUAUUUGGAUGAUAUUCUUAAUAAGUAGGUGGUUUAAUCGAAUGGAAUUCUAUUUGUGAUUGCAGUCGAGUCAGAAACGGCCAAGAUUGUGCAUUCUAUACCCGGUAUCUAGAAAGAUAACCUUUCACUUACCAUGAAAUGGCUUACAGAAACAACACCAAAUGUACAUCUUAAUCAAAGACUCCAGCAAAUCAUGUGCAAAACAAGUUUUUGCUAUUUUUUUUAAAUACUUUUUUUUUUGUUGUGUGCUGGCUAUCUAGGAAGCACUCACUCUUUGGUAGUAGGAGAACCAGGGAAGAUCCAGCUAGGAAUUUGCAGAACUAGGGAAACUACAGCUAGGAACUAGGAUGGUUAGGGAAACUACAACUAGGAACUAGGAGAACCCAAGUAUUUCCAGCUAGGAACUAGGAAAACUAGGGUAAUUAAAGCUAGGAACUAGGGGAACCAGGGAGGUUCCAGCUAGAAAUUAUGAGAACUAGGGAAAUUAAAGCUAGGAACUAGGGGGACCAGGGAAGUUCCAGCUAGGAACUAGGAUGGCUAGGGUAACUACAGCUAGGAACUAGGGGGACCAGGGAAGUUCCAGCUAGGAACUAGGAUGGCUAGGGUAACUACAGCUAGGAACUAAGAGAACCAAGGAUGUUCCAGCUAGGAAGUAGGAAAACCAGGGAAGUUCCAGCUAGGAUCUAGGAUGGUUAGGGUAACUACAGCUAGGAACUAGGAGAAGCAGGGAAACUGUGAACCAGAAAAAUCACAGCUAGGAUGUAGGAGAGUUAUAUAAACUACAGCUAGUAGGACUAUAAGAACUGGGGAAAUUAAAGCUAGGACGUAGGCAAACCAAAGAAAGUACAGAUAUGGACUAGGAGAUGGACUAGGACUAGGAGAACCAGGUACACUACAUCUAGGAAGAAGCGAUAUUAUGAAAACUCCAGUUAGGAACUAAGAGAACCAGAGAAACUCCAGCUAGUAACUAGGAGAACAAGGGAAAUUAGAACUAGGA